CCCCAGUAAGGUACCUCUUUCCUCUCUCUCUCCUCUCUCCUCUCUCCACACAUUCUCUUCUCUAUUCCCCAUUCUCUCACGCCAUUGCCCCCUACCCCACCCCUUUUUUGUGACUUUCAGGCAACCCCUCCCCCUUUCCCGAGCUAGGCAGCCCCCCUCGAUUUUUUUUUUGUGGGUGAUUUUCAGGUACAAGCUGCGGCGGACAAGGAGAGCUUACGACAUUUGGACGCGAAGGGCAAAGAAACACCGGACGAAGUGUGCAAGAGCUAGCGAUAGUUGAUCUCGGGCGGAUCAAUGCAUACUUCCAGGUUUUUCCAUCGGGAGUUGGUACCUCCCGGCCUCCUUUUUUACUCUGUACACCCUUUUACGUUUUAUAUCUAAGCACCAUGUAUGUGGUUUACUUUGUUGAUUCCUAGCUUUCAUCCUUUUGCGUACUCCGUUGUAGUACGUGGGUGCAUCACUAUUUUACGUAAUCGGUUGGGGAUAGUGUCCGCGGCGGGAGAUGGUAGAGUAAGGUCAUGUCC
Molecule: long non-coding RNA, 524 nt
Filed under: Nicotiana benthamiana
Lineage: Eukaryota; Viridiplantae; Streptophyta; Magnoliopsida; Solanales; Solanaceae
Description: long non-coding RNA (NBEN_LNC027808)
Source: RNAcentral